ACGCUAGCUACAGGCUUAACACAUGCAAGUCGAGGGCAGCGGGUUGAAAGCUUGCUUUCAAUGCCGGCGACCGGCGCACGGGUGCGUAACGCGUAUCAAACCUGCCUCAUACUCGGGGAUAGCCUUGCGAAAGUAAGAUUAAUACCCGAUGUUGUUGCUUUCUCGCAUGGGAGAGUAACCAAAGAUUUAUCGGUAUGAGAUGGUGAUGCGUCCGAUUAGGUAGUAGGCGGGGUAACGGCCCACCUAGCCUUCGAUCGGUAGGGGUUCUGAGAGGAAGGUCCCCCACACUGGAACUGAGACACGGUCCAGACUCCUACGGGAGGCAGCAGUGAGGAAUAUUGGUCAAUGGGCGAGAGCCUGAACCAGCCAAGUAGCGUGCAGGAUGACGGCCCUCCGGGUUGUAAACUGCUUUUAGUUGGGAAUAAAAAAAGGGACUUGUCCCUUCUUGUAUGUACCUUCAGAAAAAGGACCGGCUAAUUCCGUGCCAGCAGCCGCGGUAAUACGGAAGGUCCAGGCGUUAUCCGGAUUUAUUGGGUUUAAAGGGAGCGUAGGCGGAUUGUUAAGUCAGCGGUUAAAGGGUGUGGCUCAACCAUGCAUUGCCGUUGAAACUGGCGAUCUUGAGUGCAGACAGGGAUGCCGGAAUUCGUGGUGUAGCGGUGAAAUGCUUAGAUAUCACGAAGAACUCCGAUCGCGAAGGCAGGUGUCCGGGCUGCAACUGACGCUGAGGCUCGAAAGUGUGGGUAUCAAACAGGAUUAGAUACCCUGGUAGUCCACACAGUAAACGAUGUAUACUCGCGGUUUGCGAUAGACAGUAAGCCGCCAAGCGAAAGCAUUAAGUAUACCACCUGGGGAGUACGCCGGCAACGGUGAAACUCAAAGGAAUUGACGGGGGCCCGCACAAGCGGAGGA
Molecule: ribosomal RNA, 909 nt
Filed under: uncultured bacterium
Lineage: Bacteria
Description: bacterial SSU rRNA
Rfam family: Bacterial small subunit ribosomal RNA
Source: RNAcentral